GAUGAGUGGGUGGGGCCUCCUGCUGGCCGGCGCGCCGGACUGUCCCUGUCCUUUCUGGAAGGCACUCCCGCCGGCCUCCUGGAUGGGAGUAGUAAACUUCCCUUUCCUGCAGCACCAGCUGCUGACCAAGAAGCCAGAAAGCAGUCCCACCCAGCGGGAGGGCUAGGCUUACCUCCCCACCCCACGCCCUCCCCCCACAAGAUGGGCCACAGCAGCGAGAUGGGAGUGUAGUCGCGCACUGAAAGUUCUCCUACACCAAUCCGAGCCGCCGUGCAACGCUGCUUCUGCGAUCGAGAGCAGCAGCAGCUGAAUCCUGCACAUAGGUGUGUGUGUGUGUGUGUGUGUGUGUGAGAGAGAGAGAGAGAGAGAGAGAGAGAGAGAGAGAGAGAGAGAGAGAAGCAAGGACAGAUGCCUCAAAGCGUGGCAAAGGAGUACACAGGACGGCAAAUAUCUUAAAGCAGAAUAACUCCACAGGAAGCUGGAAGGGCUGCGGAGAAGCCCAGGCAGAAGGCACUGUGAAGUCGCCGGGAGGGCAUGACGUGCAGUCCGUGAACUUGAGUAAGUCUGCACUCCAGGAGCUGUCCCGAGGGCUGGGCUGGUGCCUGGCACCUGCUCUUGGGUGGAGGCGCCCAGGAGCGCCCGCUCCAGUCCCAGCACCAGGAGCUGCCGGAGCGGCGCGAGCCUCGGGCUUAGAACCAUGAAAACCAGAUCAAGGCUUUGACGGUGGAUACCUCUGGAAAGUGGAAUUGG
Mustela lutreola (European mink) is the source of this 750-nucleotide long non-coding RNA. RefSeq lists it as uncharacterized. Lineage: Eukaryota; Metazoa; Chordata; Mammalia; Carnivora; Mustelidae. The record is from RefSeq and is a predicted model, not a curated record. The transcript is spliced from 3 exons.